Molecule: ribosomal RNA, 755 nt
Filed under: uncultured bacterium
Lineage: Bacteria
Description: bacterial SSU rRNA
Rfam family: Bacterial small subunit ribosomal RNA
Source: RNAcentral
AUUGAACGCUGGCGGCAGGCUUAACACAUGCAAGUCGAGCGGAAACGAUGGGAGCUUGCUCCCAGGCGUCGAGCGGCGGACGGGUGAGUAACACUUAGGAAUCUACCUAGUAGUGGGGGAUAGCUCGGGGAAACUCGAAUUAAUACCGCAUACGUCCUACGGGAGAAAGGGGGCAACUUGUUGCUCUCGCUAUUAGAUGAGCCUAAGUCGGAUUAGCUAGUUGGUGGGGUAAAGGCCUACCAAGGCGACGAUCUGUAGCUGGUCUGAGAGGAUGAUCAGCCACACCGGGACUGAGACACGGCCCGGACUCCUACGGGAGGCAGCAGUGGGGAAUAUUGGACAAUGGGGGCAACCCUGAUCCAGCCAUGCCGCGUGUGUGAAGAAGGCCUUUUGGUUGUAAAGCACUUUAAGCAGUGAAGAAGACCUAACGGUUAAUACCCGUUAGCGAUGACAUUAGCUGCAGAAUAAGCACCGUCUAACUCUGUGCCAGCAGCCGCGGUAAUACAGAGGGUGCAAGCGUUAGUCGGAAUUACUGGGCGUAAAGCGAGCGUAGGUGGCUUGAUAAGUCAGAUGUGAAAUCCCCGGGCUUAACCUGGGAACUGCAUCUGAUACUGUCAGGCUAGAAUAGGUGAGAGGAAGGUAGAAUUCCAGGUGUAGCGGUGAAAUGCGUAGAGAUCUGGAGGAAUACCGAUGGCGAAGGCAGCCUUCUGGCAUCAUAUUGACACUGAGGUUCGAAAGCGUGGGUAGCAAACAGG